GACGAACGCUGGCGGCGUGCUUAACACAUGCAAGUCGAGCGGUAAGGCCCUUUCGGGGGUACACGAGCGGCGAACGGGUGAGUAACACGUGGGUGACCUGCCCUCAGCUCUGGGAUAAGCCUGGGAAACCGGGUCUAAUACCGGAUAUGACUCCAUGACGCAUGUUGUGGGGUGGAAAGCCUUGUGCGGCUGAGGAUGGGCCCGCGGCCUAUCAGCUUGUUGGUGGGGUGAUGGCCUACCAAGGCGACGACGGGUAGCCGGCCUGAGAGGGCGACCGGCCACACUGGGGCUGAGACACGGCCCAGACUCCUACGGGGA
This 318-nucleotide ribosomal RNA is filed under the name uncultured bacterium. Its description in RNAcentral is "bacterial SSU rRNA". It matches the Rfam family "Bacterial small subunit ribosomal RNA", at positions 28 to 347 of the family's 1533-position model. The record is from RNAcentral.